Long non-coding RNA from Triticum aestivum (bread wheat), 2205 nucleotides. RefSeq lists it as uncharacterized. The record is from RefSeq and is a predicted model, not a curated record. The transcript is spliced from 3 exons. NCBI's taxonomy places the organism in Eukaryota, Viridiplantae, Streptophyta, Magnoliopsida, Poales, Poaceae.
CGAGGCCGUCUGGUCUAUGGAUCAGAACGUUGCCUUUCGUGAUGAGCCAGGGACACAACGACCAUAGUUCACCCCCUCCUGCCUCUCCCCAGAUCCGACUGCCUUAGGGCCUGCGGCGGCUGUCGAAGCCCGGCGAAUUCGUGAUAGAAGAUGCUGACCUUGAGCUCUUGCUGGAUGUCGUCGAUCGGUUACCCCAGGAGUUCGCCGACAGUUUUGAAAGCCCAGAUCUGGCCCCUCUGGCAUUGUUAACGCCAGACCAAACCAACCCUGCCAUUCAGGCGGACUCGAAUGCUGCUCUGGAUGCGGGCAAUAAGUUGGCGUCGGCGGGCCGGGGAGGCCGCACUGUGGCGAGCGGUGGCGUCGGGAGGCAUCUCCGACUGUCCGCGCAGCCAACUGACAGGGUCAACCCAAAGGCGCUUGGUUGGACAAAGAGGUACGUCACCUAAUUCCAUUACCUGUGUAACUGUAUGUGUUCGAAAACGAGUACAUGUUGAUGUGCUCAGUCAUGCUUGAUAUGGUCUAGUUCUAUUUUGUAUGACUGCAACCUGCCGAUAUGAUAAAGUUAGCUGAACCCUGAUAGUACUACUUGUUACUGAUCGCUAUUUGUUUAAUAUGCUUAGCGGGCAAAUAUGUCAGCAAUUGUGUUGCAUCUGAAAACCGUCCAAAAGAAAUUGUUUGUUUAUAAAAUUCAGGUUACGCCGUAAUGCGCCACCUGACCGGACACCAUGUCCUUCUAGGAUGAGUGCACUAGAGCAGUCAAUUGGCAAAUGUGCAGAAGAGACUGCGAAAAGUGUAAUUAGACUGGAACUCGUCUGAGUUUUGAUUCACUGGGCGAGACGUGCGACCUCUACAACUUGUAUUCAUGGGAGAUCGGAUUUGGAAUUCAGUAUGGCAAAACCAGACUGAACGCCGAGAGGACACAGUCAAUGCAAAAAUCCUUUGCAGCUGCUCGGUGUAUUCUGAAUUCUGCUUAGUUGUUAUGCCAUUUGAUUUUUGUUUUUGCUGGAGUGUACAUGCAGGGGAAGCCGGAGGCGGAGAAUAGUAGAUCUUGUAGAUGCGAGUGCCCUGCAUUGAGAAGGCUCUUGCCGGCAGCUGAUAACAGUUCAUACAUGACAGAGCACUGUGAGGGGCACAACCAUUCCAUGUCUCUAACGAUGGGAGAGGGCGAUAUCGACGUCUAUUACUAAAGAUUUGCUAAAGCAAUUAAGGGAAAACAGUGUCAACCUCUGAAAGGUGCACAACAUCAUAGACAACUUUGUCGGCCGAUGAUGACGCGAGGAAGACUCUGGAGGUCUUCGCAGCAUUGUCGCCGGGGACCCUGACUUCACAUACUGAGUUUUGGCAAACAGUGAUAGCAGGGUGAAGAACUUUGAUGUGGACUAAUGGAAGCAGCAGAACGCAGUACCGGUUCUUCGGGGAUGUGAUAAUCUUCAAAACAACAUAUAGGACCAACCUCUAUGACAUGCUGUUUGGUCUAUUCGUGGGGGUGAACAAUCAUUUUUAAAGCAUUAUCCUGGCUGGGGUACUGAUAUGCUGCUUGAUAAAUACAAUUUGAGGACGGUGGGGAACACUGAAGGUGGUGACACCCGAGCAAGAAUAGAGGUUCAGUUCCCGGACACGUCGAGCUUGGGGUCGACAGCGAGCGCUUGGAGCACGAACUUGACGCCGGAGCAAGGAGGCCAUGGCAUCGACGACGUGAGCGGAAAUAUUGGUUCUGUUGUGCUGUCUGUUGGUCUUCCGAACUUGGAGAGGUGAUACAGCCGGAACUCUCUUCGGAGAAGAUUUUGAAGCUAACUGGAUGAUAGGGUCAGAGAUGAUACCCUUGAAGGAUUCAGCAAGCAUGACCCAGCUGCCGUCGCGUUGGCCAGCUAAGAUGGUGUUGACUCUGAUGUGGACAACGGGUCACGCGUGAUGUAUGUGGCCGGAGAGGUUGAUUCCGGUGGAGUAGAGGGAGUUGAGCAAAGUACUGUGUUUGCUCUGCUCCCGUUGUGCAAGAUGGGCACACCAUCUUCAACAGUUUGUUGUGGUGUGCGUGCGGUGUGCUUGAGGUUCCAGACAAAAAGAAAACUCGUUGAGUGUGAUUACGUCAUGAUUUAUGAAGGGAAACUCUAGUUUGUGCUUGUAAAACCCAGUGGCUGAGUACGCGCACAGUUGCAUCUUGUUGACAGUAAAGUUCUUAAAUCUAACUAAAAUUGUUUUGUUUCU